GUCGAGCGGAUUGAUGGGAGCUUGCUCCCAUCAGUCAGCGGCGGACGGGUGAGUAACACGUGGGUAACCUGCCUGUAAGACUGGGAUAACUCNCGGGAAACCGAGGGCUAAUACCGGAUAACUCAUUUCCUCGCAUGAGGAAAUGUUGAAAGGUGGCUUUUAGCUAUCACUUACAGAUGGACCCGCGGCGCAUUAGCUAGUUGGUGAGGUAACGGCUCACCAAGGCGACGAUGCGUAGCCGACCUGAGAGGGUGAUCGGCCACACUGGGACUGAGACACGGCCCAGACUCCUACGGGAGGCAGCAGUAGGGAAUCUUCCGCAAUGGACGAAAGUCUGACGGAGCAACGCCGCGUGAGUGAUGAAGGUUUUCGGAUCGUAAAACUCUGUUGUUAGGGAAGAACAAGUACCGUUCGAAUAGGGCGGUACCUUGACGGUACCUAACCAGAAAGCCACGGCUAACUACGUGCCAGCAGCCGCGGUAAUACGUAGGUGGCAAGCGUUGUCCGGAAUUAUUGGGCGUAAAGCGCGCGCAGGUGGUUCCUUAAGUCUGAUGUGAAAGCCCACGGCUCAACCGUGGAGGGUCAUUGGAAA
RNAcentral lists this ribosomal RNA (592 nucleotides) under Bacillus sp. CH17a_1C. RNAcentral's name for it is "bacterial SSU rRNA". It matches the Rfam family "Bacterial small subunit ribosomal RNA", at positions 61 to 632 of the family's 1533-position model. Lineage: Bacteria; Bacillati; Bacillota; Bacilli; Caryophanales; Bacillaceae. The record is from RNAcentral.